This 451-nucleotide long non-coding RNA is filed under the name Panax ginseng (ginseng). Its description in RNAcentral is "long non-coding RNA (PGIN_LNC004752)". Lineage: Eukaryota; Viridiplantae; Streptophyta; Magnoliopsida; Apiales; Araliaceae. The record is from RNAcentral.
UUUCAAUUAGUAAAGGUUGUAGCGAGUGAUUUAACAAAAAGAUAGAAGAUAAUAGGAUGGAAUUAGCUAAAAGACUAUAUUUCUCUUUCUUUCUGAUCUCUCCUCUCUUCUAGCUUUAAUUUAGCUAGCUUAGCUAGGGAUAUUUAGCCUCUGAUGUGAUCCGACUACUCUUGUGGCAGCUUGUUUCACUACUACUAGGUGGUACAAAUUAAGAUCCAGGGGUUUCUACAUAUUUAAGGUUUUGAGACUUGGAAAAAUGGAGGAGGAGGGUUUUGGGUUAAUCUGGAUCUCUCUCUGUAUAUAUUGUUCGUAGCUGGCUAGGGGGUUAUUAGGGUUGGAUUUUGAGGAAGAAAAAGAAAAGAGAGAUCUAAUUAAGGAUCUGGGAUGGGUUUGUUUUUGGCAAGAAUGCGUACGUAUGGGCAGUACUGGAUCAGUUAUGCUUCGAUCUCUC